AGGAGGAACAGCCCCAGUGGCGGGGCAGCUCUGGAAACCUGGAUUCAGCUCCGGCCUGCAGGGCCUGGAGGCUCCGGGGCGGG
This 83-nucleotide microRNA precursor is filed under the name Canis lupus familiaris (dog). RNAcentral describes it as "mir-8834 microRNA precursor family". It matches the Rfam family "mir-8834 microRNA precursor family". The record is from Rfam by way of RNAcentral. Lineage: Eukaryota; Metazoa; Chordata; Mammalia; Carnivora; Canidae.